ACGGAGUUCCCUGGUGGCUCGGGUUAAGGAUCUGGCGUUGUCACUGCUGUGACUCAGGUUGCUGUUAUGGUGCAGGUUCGUUCUCUGGCCUUGUUACAUCUGCAUGCCCCAGGUGCGGCCCAGAAGAAAAAAAAAGAAUAAAAAGGAAUAAUUAUUGUAAAUACAGAAAAAAAAAGAAAGAAAGAAAGAAAGAAAGAGCCAGGCUUACAACAUCAAGGGCCUAUACAGCUCGUGACCUGUUCCUGGGUUUCCUGCUACUCUCCCCUGUGACCUCCUGCUCUUCACAAGGUGGCCCCACUUUCCCCACCGAGGAGGUGUCUGCCUCACACUGCUACCAAGUAAGCACUCUCCUGAUUCUUGCUGUCAAAGCUGUUCUGGCCCAGGGCCUUUUCUUUUCAUUCGGCUCGGAUUUUCUUGGGCAUCCUAAUCUCAGGCUGACUUUUCUGGACUGUGGUAAUUGAUACACAUGAUUGUAAAUGAUACAUAAAUAUUUGUCCAAUGAAAUAUAAGUGUCCAUUUCUUUUUUUGAAAAUAACACCUAUACCUUGAGCCUAUACCCACAAAGGCCCUGACUGGUUUCAGUCGUGUGCUUUUGGUCUUUUCUUUUUAUUUUAUUUUAUUUUAUUUUAUUUUAUUUAUUUAUUUAUUUAUUUAUUUUUGUCUUUUUGCUAUUUCUUUGGGCCACUCCUGCGGCAUAUGGAGGUUCCCCGGCUAGGGGUCGAAUUGGAGCUGUAGCCACCGGCCUACGCAAGAGCCACAGCAACGAGGGAUCCGAGCCGAAUCUGCGACCUACACCACAGCUCACAGCAACGCCGGAUCGUUAACCACUGAGCAAGGGCAGGGACCGAACCUGCAAUCUCAUGGUUCCUAGUCUGAUUCGUUAACCACGUUAACCACUGCGCCACGACGGGAACUCUGGUCUUUUCUUUUUAAUUGGUGAGUGUUUUUCAUCCUUGCCUGUUGAAAGGGCGAUGCUCCUUUCCAUGUUUUGUCUGGUAGAUUCUGAGGUGUGGAGCCUGCUCUGAUAAUGUUUCAUAUAUAAAAAGGCUUCUAUGUUUAAAUUAAUGUGUCAAGAAGUGGUAAUAACAGUAAGAUACUGUUUUAAUUUUUCUGAGGAAGCUCAUUACCUUUCGGUGACUUAUUCUGUUUUCUCUGAUAAUCUGUGCUAAAUAUCUUCUUAGAUUGUACCUUUUGUUGAGAUAAGAGAAUAAUCCCAUUUUGUGUCCUUAUGUGAGUAUUAAAUAUGCAACAUCCUAAUGAUGAGGAAGAUGAGCGUAAAUAGAAUAUUUAGUAUUUUGGUUGAACUGAUACCUGAGAGCCAACCCCCCGACCAAAAUCCACCUAAAUUAAAAGUACCAGUUCUUUCUAUACUUUCUCUCAGCUCUCCUAAUCCAGCUAGAGUUUGCUCAUUGGGGGGCGGGGAGAAUUAAGAAGAACAGGAAAAUAAAAACAGUAGCAAAGAGUUUAUCCUGUUUCGCUUUCAUUGUUUUAUAUUUGAUUCUCUGAUGAGAUUAUGGGGAAUCUAUAAACUCUUGGUCCCUUUUGGUAGAGCAUUCCGUUAGCAUGACACUAGUGCUGCAGAAGAGAAUUUGGUUUUGUAGCCUGUGUGGUUGAUUCACUUACUGUGAGUAGAGGAUGAGAGUUUCCAUUAGUAUUCUUCUUCAGUAUUAAUUUUAGAAAAAACUGAUUAUUUUGCAAAGAAAAAAUGGAGCACAACAGAAAAAUGUUUACUUUAUGACACUUGUCAUUUCUUGAUGGGGUGUGUGUGUGUGUGUGUGUGUGUGUGUGUGUGUGUGUGUGUUAUGUUGAGCAGCAAGUAGCUUCAUUAUCUUUCACCACUGGAAGCAGUGAAGAAAAAUAAGUGGCUUUCUGAUGAGGGAAUUAUUUUCAAAAUUUCAAGCCCUCUAAAACUAAAAAGAUUAUUUUUAAUGCCAUAUUAAUAUAAUUGCACAUUUUUUUCCUAAUGUUAAAGUGAUUCUGAUUGUCAAAGAGAACUUUCAAAAAGGUACACUAGUUCAGCGAAGCAGACUAAUAUUUUAGAAAGAAUAUUAGUAAUAAAAAGGACAGAAUUAUGAUAGUUUGAUACAUUAAUUUUAAAAACUUUUUUUCCAUCGCUCUCGAGUCAAGAUGAGAAAACUUAAACAGAAAUGUGGUUCUCAUUUUGAUUGUACUGAAUUUAUUACCGGAAAUGCUAUCCUCCCUUCCGAUGCAGAGGGCUUUAAGUCCUUUUUGUUUAAAAGAGUGUAGGAGAGGUUAAUUUUCUAUAGCAAUGGAAUUAAAAAUUCUCUUCACUGAAUCAUUCCAGGCAGUGUAAUAAAAAAAAUGCAGUAAUUUGAAUAUAGCCAUCAAGGCAGUAGUUAUUUUAGUUAUAAGUGGUCUUCUGCCUUUUUAAGUAGCAGAUUGUCGGAGAUUAUCUAAUUCUGUUUUAUGAAACAGUUGCUCAUAAAAAUGCUUGUUCCUUGUCCUAUAGCUAAGUUCUUUCAUUAACUUUUUUCCUUUAUUACAUAGUACUUUUGUUCCAGUGGUCUGUCACAGAUUUGGGGGGUUCUGCAUUUUAUGAAUGUGUUAUAAACCCAUUCUAAGAAUGUGGUUUACUUUUGCUGCUGUGCCUGCCUAGAAAGUCUUUUCUUGCUUCUCGGCAGACUGUCAGUUAAAUGGUCCGCUUUUUAGAUUUUUAAAUUCUUUGUACCUAUUCCAUGUGCCACUUGGUAUGCCAUUUUGUUUUUACCUUACACUGCCUUUCAAGCCUCCCCAGAGGUGAACUAUCCUUGGAGCCAUCAAAGGGACCCUCAUCGCAUGAACCCCUUGGCAUUUUAUUUACUUAUUUUGUAGCAUGUGGAAGUUCUUGGGCCAGGGAUAGAACCUGCCACAGCAAUGACCCAAGCUGCUGCCGUGACAGCCCUGGAUACCCACUGUGGGUGGCCCUGACAUUUUGCAUACAAAAUGUUGUAGUCUUUUCCUUCUUUUUUCUUUUUUUCUUUUUUUUUUUUUUAGGGCCACACCCUCAGCAUAUGGAAGUUCCCAGGCUAGAGGUUGAAUGGGAGCUGCAGCCGCCAGCCUACACUGAGGCCAGGGAUGGAACCCGUGUCCUCAUGGAUGGUAGUCGGGUUCACUCACCACUGAGCCUCAACAGAACUCCUCUUUCUUCUUUCUUUUAUUUUUUUAAAAUUUUUAUUAUUUAUUUAUUUAUUUUUGGUCUUUUUGCCAUUUCUUGGGCCGCUCCUGCAGCACAUGGAGGCUCCCAGGCUAGGGGUCAAAAUGGAGCUGUAGCCACCGGCCUACACCACAGCCACAGCAACGCAGAAUCCGAGCCGUGUCUGCAACCUACACCACAGCUCACAACAACGCCGGAUCGUUAACCCACUGAGCAAGGGCAGGGAUGGAACCAGCAACCUCAUGGUUCCUAGUGGGAUUCGUUAACCACUGCGCCACAACGGGAACUCCCUUCUUUCUUUUUUUGAAAUUUAUUUUAGUGAAGUGUAGUUGAUCGUAGUCUUAAAGAAGCCCUGCAAUUAUAUGAACUUAGACCCACACAACCUGCCUUUUCUAAAGUUGAAGACCGUUAGAGGAGAUGCAAAACAAACUACGUGUAGAUUGUUAGCUUUGUGUUUUAGGUUAAAAGGAUACAAAUAGAGUAUGUGAAUGGGUCCGUGUGUGAUGUCAGAUUUAGUUUAUCACGAUAACCAUCCGGAGUGCACCAGAUGUUUUGACUGUAUUUAGCUUCAUAUUGAAUUAAGCACAGCCAGUGGCCUCCAAAGUCCAUCUGUACUGCUGCCAAAGGUAGCUCUGAAGACAGCGCCUUUCCCUUCUGCCCACUGCUAGCUGCUCUUUUCCUCUUGCCACGAUGUUGAGGCUUUUGAAUUGCUCUUGGGAAAGGUGAGUCUCUGUAUCUGAAAUUUGCAUGCAGUUUAUCUGCCUUCUUGAAUGAAGGGGCUUGCCCUUUUCAUUUCAAUAGGUCGUCAUUUUCAAUUUUUGCUUAUCCAUAAACCAGUAGAAAUAAAUCAAAUAAAUCAGAUUAGUUAGGAGCUUAUUGAGGCCUAAAGUCUAGUGAGAGAGGGCAGCCGUCUAUACACAAGUAACAAUUAAACACACGUAUGCCUGAGGUUUCUGUAUGCUUGCUACUAAUCACGGAAAAAAACAAAUUAUUGCUUUUGUUAUAUAAAUAUGUAUUACGAUCUGAAAACCCUUAGUUUUGUUUACACUCAGAAAGACAAGUAUUAAAAUCACUCAAAACCUUUAUAAGGAUUUAAAUGAGUGUACCUUGACUUUUACGUAAUUUCUGCUUCAUCAGCGUAAUCAAAGGAUGCAUGGAUUCUUUCCCCGCGGGAGGGAAGCCGACAGCUGCAGUGCUCGCUCUCAGUGUGAGGAUCGUGAAGAUGGCAGACCUUGCAGAGCAGACAGUUUCCUCCCAUACCUGCUCCCACCCUUCCUAGAAAAAGCAUUUAGACGCCUCUGAAAUGAGACCCGCAAAGCGUGUGCUAAUGCCAGAACAAAUAUCUUGGAAAUUUUAUCAUAAUGUUGCUUUUUAAGGCCCUAAAUGUCCUCUAUUUAAAAUGAAAUUCUUUUGUAUUAACCUCCUUUCAUAUGCUGGCUUUCACCAGCCUGCAGAAUUGCCUGAUUUGACUUUCUAAUGUAACUGUAAUGAAUCUUCUGGGAAGCCAAACGAUUGAACACGCGUACUCUGCGUCUCCAUUGUAAGAUAGUCAGUCCUGUCGAUGUUGCUGNGAUUAAAAAAAAAAAAAAAAAAAAAA
RNAcentral lists this long non-coding RNA (4751 nucleotides) under Sus scrofa (pig). RNAcentral's name for it is "lncRNA (ENSSSCG00035057390.1)". The record is from RNAcentral. Lineage: Eukaryota; Metazoa; Chordata; Mammalia; Artiodactyla; Suidae.